RNAcentral lists this ribosomal RNA (239 nucleotides) under uncultured Rhodospirillaceae bacterium. Its description in RNAcentral is "partial 16S ribosomal RNA". It matches the Rfam family "Bacterial small subunit ribosomal RNA", at positions 1146 to 1382 of the family's 1533-position model. Lineage: Bacteria; Pseudomonadati; Pseudomonadota; Alphaproteobacteria; Rhodospirillales; Rhodospirillaceae. The record is from RNAcentral.
AAACUAGCCGGUGGACAAGCCGGAGGAAGGCGGGGAGUGACGUCAAGUCCUCACGGCCCUUACGGCCUGGGCUACACACGUACUACAAUGGUGGUGACAGUGGGAUGCCAAAGCGCAAGCUGGAGCGAACCCCCAAAAGCCACCUCAGUUCAGAUUGCACUCUGCAACUCGAGUGCAUGAAGUUGGAAUCGCUAGUAAUCGCAGAUCAGCACGCUGCGGUGAAUACGUUCCCGGGCCUU